RNAcentral lists this ribosomal RNA (253 nucleotides) under uncultured bacterium. Its description in RNAcentral is "partial 16S ribosomal RNA". It matches the Rfam family "Bacterial small subunit ribosomal RNA", at positions 524 to 776 of the family's 1533-position model. The record is from RNAcentral.
UACGGAGGAUUCAAGCGUUAUCCGGAUUUAUUGGGUUUAAAGGGUGCGUAGGCGGUCGGAUAAGUUAGAGGUGAAAUCCCGAGGCUCAACUUCGGAAUUGCCUCUGAUACUGGUUUGCUAGCGAGUAGAUGCUGUAGGCGGAAUGCGCGGUGUAGCGGUGAAAUGCAUAGAUAUCGCGCAGAACCCCGAUUGCGAAGGCAGCCUGCCGGCCCCACACUGACGCUGAGGCACGAAAGCGUGGGUAUCGAACAGG